RNAcentral lists this ribosomal RNA (497 nucleotides) under uncultured bacterium. Its description in RNAcentral is "partial 16S ribosomal RNA". It matches the Rfam family "Bacterial small subunit ribosomal RNA", at positions 28 to 507 of the family's 1533-position model. The record is from RNAcentral.
GAUGAACGCUGGCGGCAUGCCUAACACAUGCAAGUCGAGCGGAAAGACGAUGAGCUUUCUCCUCUAACGUUAGCGGCGGGCGGGUGGGUAACACGUGCAUAACCUUCCUAUAUGACUGGGAGAACUACGUGAAACCAGAGCUAAUACUGGCUAAUAUAACGAACCGCAUGGUUCAAUGGUUAUACGGGGUUUUGCUGUCUCUUUUAGAUGGUUCCGCGUCGCAUUAGCUAGUUGGUAAGGUAACGGCUUACCAAGGCAACGAUGCGUAGCCGACCUGAGAGGGUGAUCGGCCACACUGGAACUGAGACACGGUCCAGACUCCUACGGGAGGCAGCAGUAGGGAAUCUUCGGCAAUGGGCGAAAGCCUGAUGGAGCAAUACCGCGUGAGUGAUGAAGGUCUUCGGAUCGUAAAACUCUGUUGUUAGGAAAGAAAAACUGUGUAUUUAUAUAUGCACGUUUUGACGGUACCUAAUGAAUAAGCAACGGCUAACUACGUG